GUGCUCCGGUGUACAGAGGCUGAGGACAGAGGAAGGACAAACCUCCUUGCCUUUAAUUUUGCUGAGGGUGUAAAAUGAGUCGAGGCUUUCUGCAGUCACUAUUCUAUUCAUAUCUUUUGUGUCCGAUGCUAUUUUUGUUGGCUGUGCCCCUGGAGGUGGAGGUGUGGAAGUGCGUUUUUGCUGGUCUUUGCAAGCGGUGUAGAUGUUUCCUCUGUUCCAGGCACCACCUCAGACGCUGCGGCCUUACAGGAGGAGUAGGCGGAUGUCAGCGUGGCCAUUUCUCACCUGUCUGUAACUUUUUAAUACUUCCUUUUAUUUUGGCUUUGCAUUUCUUCCAUGGAACGAACAUCUCUGGGUAGCCACUGGGAGUUGUAAAUGGCUUGGGAUGGAAACCACAGCUUGUAGGUGCGCCCUCUGCCAGGCUUUUCUGGCACCCGAGGAAGCCCAGCCUCUGCCUGCUCCCAAGCGAAAGGGAUAUUACCAGCUGCUCGGUGAGAAAACAAAUUCACAGAGAUACAGGAAAGUGUGUUAAGUUGGUGGGAAGCAACGGGCGUGAGAUUCCUGGCAGCUCCGGUGACUGACAUUAUUUUGGAACCCGAUUCUCAAACAUCUGGGAUUAGCUCUCCUGGAAAUGUGAGGACAUGGGCCCUCUAGUGCCACUUGGAAAAUGCCAGUAUCCCAGCCCACAGUUCUGCAAGGGAGGUGUUAUUUGGCAAGUCUCCUGCAUGUGGCCGGUCCAAUUGGAUAAUAGGUCCAGCAGUAACUCCUAGCAACAGGAACUCUUCCCCUUCAGUGGUUGCUUGAUGCCCUGUGUGAAAUGAGAGUUCAGCCAAUGGUAUAGGCACUUCUUAGUGAACAAGUAUCUACACAUGUAAUUCUGCAGUAACUGGUGUCUCUGUGUCUGCCAUUCUCCCUUGCCAGCCCAGCAGAGAUAACUGAAAUUACCUGGAAAUAAAUUUUUCCAUCAAAGUGUCCUUCUAGCUGAGGCUUUGCUGCAAUAACAGCACGUGCACAACUUGUGCUGCUUAGUUUAUCUUUGGAUGGACAAUUGCUAUCUCCAGGCCUACAGAGUAAGCAUUGUUAGAUAUAUUAAAAUAAUUUUUUAAAAGUCUUCUGACUCCAAAGUUCCCAGCCUUUCAGUUUAUGUAUAUCCAGCUGGGAAAUCAUGCCCACUAAUUUUUACUGAAGUUUGCAGUUGAUUGACCCACCAGUACAAUGCCAGGAUGCUGGGUAGACUUGUGCAGCUCCUCCGAAGUUCAGGUGCGUUCAAGAUGCAUGGCUCAAAGAUG
This is a long non-coding RNA of Neopelma chrysocephalum (saffron-crested tyrant-manakin), 1289 nucleotides long. RefSeq lists it as uncharacterized. The record is from RefSeq and is a predicted model, not a curated record. The transcript has 3 exons. Lineage: Eukaryota; Metazoa; Chordata; Aves; Passeriformes; Pipridae.